RNAcentral lists this ribosomal RNA (448 nucleotides) under uncultured bacterium. RNAcentral's name for it is "bacterial SSU rRNA". It matches the Rfam family "Bacterial small subunit ribosomal RNA", at positions 330 to 794 of the family's 1533-position model. The record is from RNAcentral.
CCCAGACUCCUACGGGAGGCAGCAGUGGGGGAUAUUGCACAAUGGGGGGAACCCUGAUGCAGCGACGCCGCGUGGGUGAAGGAGCGUUUCGGCGCGUAAAGCCCUAUCGGCAGGGAAGAAGGAGGACGGUACCUGACUAAGAAGCCCCGGCUAACUACGUGCCAGCAGCCGCGGUAAUACGUAGGGGGCAAGCGUUAUCCGGAUUUACUGGGUGUAAAGGGAGCGUAGACGGCGAUGCAAGUCUGAAGUGAAAGGCGGGGGCCCAACCCCCGGACUGCUUUGGAAACUGUAUGGCUGGAGUGCUGGAGAGGCAAGCGGAAUUCCUAGUGUAGCGGUGAAAUGCGUAGAUAUUAGGAAGAACACCAGUGGCGAAGGCGGCUUGCUGGACAGUAACUGACGUUGAGGCUCGAAAGCGUGGGGAGCAAACAGGAUUAGAUACCCGGGUACU